Camelus ferus (Wild Bactrian camel) is the source of this 73-nucleotide transfer RNA. It matches the Rfam family "tRNA". From Rfam's summary of the family: Transfer RNA (tRNA) molecules are approximately 80 nucleotides in length. NCBI's taxonomy places the organism in Eukaryota, Metazoa, Chordata, Mammalia, Artiodactyla, Camelidae. The record is from Rfam.
GAGGGUAUAGCUCAAGUGGUAGAGUGCAUGCUUAGCAUGCAUGAGGUCCUGGGUUCAAUCCCAAGUACCUUCU